UCUAAUAUGGCAGAAAUAAUGCAUUGGAUUUAAACCCCAAUUAUAAAGAUUUAUCUUUUUUUAGAA
Molecule: transfer RNA, 66 nt
Filed under: Trichostegia minor
Lineage: Eukaryota; Metazoa; Arthropoda; Insecta; Trichoptera; Phryganeidae
Description: tRNA-Leu
Rfam family: tRNA
About the family: Transfer RNA (tRNA) molecules are approximately 80 nucleotides in length. Their secondary structure includes four short double-helical elements and three loops (D, anti-codon, and T loops).
Source: RNAcentral